CCAAUAGCGUAUAUUAAAGUUGUUGCAGUUAAAAAGCUCGUAGUUGAAUUUCGGGGUUAGUAGGUUGGUCAUGCCUCUGGUAUGUACUGGUCUCACUGAUUCCUCCUUCCUUAUGAACCGUAAUGCCAUUAAUUUGGUGUUGCGGGAAAUUUGGACUGUUACUUUGAAAAAAUUAGAGUGUUUAAAGCAAGCUAACGCUUGAAUACAUUAGCAUGGAAUAAUGAAAUAGGACGUUCGAUCUUAUUUUGUUGGUUUCUAGGAUUGACGUAAUGAUUAAUAGGGAUAGUUGGGGGCAUUAGUAUUAAAUUGUCAGAGGUGAAAUUCUUGGAUUUAUUGAAGACUAACUACUGCGAAAGCAUUUGCCAAGGAUGUUUUCAUUAAUCAAGAACGAAAGUUAGGGGAUCGAAGACGAUCAGAUACCGUCGUAGUCUUAACCAUAAACUAUGCCGACUAGGGAUCGGAUGAUGUUAAUUUUUUAAUGACUCAUUCGGCGCCUUACG
This 500-nucleotide unclassified non-coding RNA is filed under the name uncultured Glomus. Its description in RNAcentral is "SSU rRNA". It matches the Rfam family "Eukaryotic small subunit ribosomal RNA", at positions 591 to 1092 of the family's 1831-position model. The record is from RNAcentral. Lineage: Eukaryota; Fungi; Glomeromycota; Glomeromycetes; Glomerales; Glomeraceae.